AUGUUUACACUUGUUUUGUAACAUUUUGUAUUGGUUCCGCUAUUAUCCGCUAGGGUAACUUAGUGUCAACGUCAAAUUAUAAAAAAAAAUUAAAAUAUGAAUGGUUUGAAGUCUUGGAAAAAUUAAGCCAUGGCAUCUUUAAAUAUUAUUAUUAUUUUGCCGACUCUUUUUGUGUAGAGGUAACAACAAAUUAAUCCAUAAACAAUCUUGGUUUAAUUAGGCGAAAUCAUCGAUUUUUCGCCUUAAGGUCCUGAGCGGCUUCGCCUUAAUCCAACGAAGCGAGGUUAUCAUGGUUAUAGGCUUCAAGGUCACCAACUGCAUAAAUCAUGUCAAAAAUUUUAUUUCUGAUUAUUCUUUAUUACCUUAGUUGUAAUGAAGCUCAUAACUCAAGGAAUAUUAAUUUAGGUUAUCUGUUGCUGCCUUGGUUUAUGAAACAGGUUUAAAGGAGAGCUUCCCAUUUCACAAAUGAGGUAUGCACCGUUUGCCCAAGAUCAAUAACACAAAUACAGCCAAGUAUAUAAAGUGGGUAUAAGAAAGCAAAUAAUAAGGUCUUUUCUCCACGUUAACAAAGAAAGAUGGAACACACUGUUUCUAAGAUGUUUCUAGAUGACAACAUAGGAAAUGACCAAUUUAUUAACAGCUAGAUACAACAUAAGCCAAGUGAUGAACGCAGAAAUGGUACUCUUAUUAAACAUUUAUGGAGAAAGACAUUGAGAUUAAUGGUAUAGAUUUCGUUUGCUAAAUAUUAUCCGCAGCAAAACUUGUUUAGUGUCAUUUUCUCGUGUUCUCUGCUUUCUAGCAACAAACAUUUUUGGAAAGCAACGCAUAUCCUCCUGAUGACAACUCAAAUUUGUACGAGAGCAGUUAUGGUUAGAGUCAUGAUUGUAUGAACGUUGUCCAUGAACCCUGGAAUUGCUAAAAUAACCAACUACAUGUUAGUGAAAUUACUGUAAACAGAGAAUAAUAAAAAAAAGGUAUGAACCUAGCAGUUACAUUAAUAAUGAAAAUUUAAUUAGAAUCAUAAGUAGAAAUAUUUGUCAAUGAUAUGAAAAUGCAGAAAUUUAGAGUCUAAUAGUUAGGUUGCCAUGAAGAUUGAGUUAGGUACGGUACGAAUCGUGCUUUUAGUUAAAUGGUAAGCAGAAGCAUAAGAAAAUGCCUAGGAGAUAAGUAACGAUAAUGCUUAAAAAGAAGAUAGAAAAUCAUUAUCAUCAAAAUCAUCAGGCUGGAAGAGGAUGAGAGACUAGAUUAAGGACAAUAAAGAGCGGCGAUAUCUUUCCAAACAAGGGAACUAAUUCUGGGGAAGUAAUUUGGCAGACCGGGGAGCAGCUAUCCUAAAGAGACUGUCAUAGACAUAACGAUGGGACGAUGGCCACAAAACGUUUAUAAGAUAUUGUGAAAGUUGAGACGAAGAAGAUAUGCUAAAACUUUAAAUACUCCCAAAACGGUGAUAAAUAUGCAACGGAAACAUCAACAGUUUAACAUAUUUAGCUAAUAGAGUUAAUAUAUAGGUUGAAGAUAAAAGACUGCAAAAAAUAUCAAUAUUGUUGUAUCUAUUUCAUUUAUGCAAACGAGUUGUAUUAAAUACCAGAUAUUUUUACAUAAUUAGAAAAGUAUAUAAUUAAGUUAUUUAUAUUAUGUUCAUAUUAAAUUUCAAUUUA
This 1658-nucleotide long non-coding RNA is filed under the name Onthophagus taurus. RNAcentral describes it as "uncharacterized LOC111413150, transcript variant X1". Lineage: Eukaryota; Metazoa; Arthropoda; Insecta; Coleoptera; Scarabaeidae. The record is from RNAcentral.